RNAcentral lists this long non-coding RNA (910 nucleotides) under Homo sapiens (human). Its description in RNAcentral is "non-protein coding LINC02036:8". Lineage: Eukaryota; Metazoa; Chordata; Mammalia; Primates; Hominidae. The record is from RNAcentral.
CUGAAAAGCCGACCUACAUGCAGAGAAAGGCGGGAGGGGCUGCUGGGAGAAGUCUGCUGGAGCUUGUUCAUGCUGAGAGGUUGGGGGUGUGAUUUGAGGUGCGGAAGACCUACUUAAAACCUGAGAGUCUCGAAUAGGAGAGGCGCUUUCAGAUCAGCCCGAGUCUUCUGCAGCGCACAGGAGCUAGUCGUACUGAAAAGAAUGAAGUUGGACUUGUCCAGGCGAGUUUCGGACAGUGCUGGGCUGCCCUGCUCUGAUCUCCUGGGUGUCUUCACCUCCUCUGGUUCCUAAGUCGGCUGCUGCACCAGCACCCAUCAAACUCUCCUGGAAGAGGAAGUGACAGCUCACCGGUAGCCUAGAAGGCCCCUGUGGGCAGAAGCAUGGACUUACUCCUCCUCAUGGAGAUGCGGCUGAGCCAUAUUUCCUUGGCACCUCUCUGGAACCUUCGACAACCACCACCUCAGACACUAACCAGACUUUAGGUCCAUUCCUUUCAUGGCUAAAAUGAGACAGUCCACAAUGUUGAUUUUAUUUGUAGGGGAUGUCAGGAUUCCAGAAAAGCAGACUUGGAAAGCAACAAAACGUUAACUUGCAGCUCACUGAGGCCCUUACACUUGUUCUGGGCACCUCUGUAUGUUAAAAGAAGUCCAAUAUCUUUAGCUGCUGGUUAUAGGUGGCCAUAUGUUUCUGCACAGAAAUGGGGCUCCCCUUGCUAGACUAAUUUUCUAAUUUUUCCUCAAGCUUCAUUGAUUCAUAUUCUUCUACUUGACCCUGACUGUCAGGACCAACAACACCAAAUAACACCAAAGUCUCUUGCUCCUGUCCUCAGAACCUCUCAGAGGCAUCCUCUGCCCUGUUGGAGCCAUUUUAUUUCAGGUUGAUCCUUAAUUAAAUUCAGCGAGAUGCAGGA